Molecule: ribosomal RNA, 497 nt
Filed under: uncultured bacterium
Lineage: Bacteria
Description: partial 16S ribosomal RNA
Rfam family: Bacterial small subunit ribosomal RNA
Source: RNAcentral
GAUGAACGCUGGCGGCGUGCCUAAUACAUGCAAGUCGAGCGAACAGACGAGGAGCUUGCUCCUCUGACGUUAGCGGCGGACGGGUGAGUAACAUGUGGAUAACCUACCUAUAAGACUGGGAUAACUUCGGGAAACCGGAGCUAAUACCGGAUAAUAUAUUGAACCGCAUGGUUCAAUAGUGAAAGACGGUUUUGCUGUCACUUAUAGAUGGAUCCGCGCCGCAUUAGCUAGUUGGUAAGGUAACGGCUUACCAAGGCAACGAUGCGUAGCCGACCUGAGAGGGUGAUCGGCCACACUGGAACUGAGACACGGUCCAGACUCCUGCGAGAGGCAGCAGUAGGGGAUCUUCCGCAAUGGGCGAAAGCCUGACGGAGCAACGCCGCGUGAGUGAUGAAGGUCUUCGGGUCGUAAAACUCUGUUAUUAGGGAGGAACAAAUGUGUAAGUAACUAUGCACGUCUUGACGGUACCUAGUCAGAAAGCCACGGCUAACUACGUG